UUUCCGUAGGUGAACCUGCGGAAGGAUCAUUAUCGAGUUAUUUGAACAGGUUGUAGCUGGCCUCUUACUUGAGGCAUGUGCACGCUUGGCUCAUCCACUCUCUAACCCCUGUGCACUUUUUGUAGAAAUGACAGAAAUCAAGAUGUAAAAAAUCUUGGUGGAAGUCUUUUCUAUGUUUUUUCUUACAAACUUCAGUUUAAGAAUGUCUACUUGCAGACAAUGCAAAUUAUAUACAACUUUCAGCAACGGAUCUCUUGGCUCUCGCAUCGAUGAAGAACGCAGCGAAAUGCGAUAAGUAAUGUGAAUUGCAGAAUUCAGUGAAUCAUCGAAUCUUUGAACGCACCUUGCGCUCCUUGGUAUUCCUUGGAGCAUGCCUGUUUGAGUAUCAUGGAAUUAUCAACCCCCUAAAAAUUUUUCCCCUCCGGGAGGUCGAGUCAUGUGUGGGGCUUGGACUUAGAGGUUUAUGCUGUGCUAUCUUCCCCUCAGCUCCUCUCAAAUGCAUUAGCAGUGAACUUUACACAUUGCCUUCAGCGUGAUAAUCGUCUACGUUGUCGCAUUAUGUAUUCAUACGUUCUCGCUUACAAUCGUCUCUCUGAGACAUUUUUUCUAACUUCUGAUCUCAAAUCAGGUAGGACUACCCGCUGAACUUAA
RNAcentral lists this ribosomal RNA (651 nucleotides) under Leptoporus mollis. RNAcentral's name for it is "eukaryotic LSU rRNA". The stretch from base 235 to 388 matches the Rfam family "5.8S ribosomal RNA". The record is from RNAcentral. Lineage: Eukaryota; Fungi; Basidiomycota; Agaricomycetes; Polyporales; Irpicaceae.